Molecule: ribosomal RNA, 474 nt
Filed under: uncultured marine eukaryote
Lineage: Eukaryota
Description: SSU rRNA
Rfam family: Eukaryotic small subunit ribosomal RNA
Source: RNAcentral
GUUAAAAAGCUCGUAGUUGGAUUUCUGGUGGGGUUGUCGGCCUGGCUCCGAAAGGGGUUGUGGCUUGACACACCUUGCCAUCCUCGGGGGUAGCUUCGCUGGCAUUAAGUUGUCGGCGGAGUGACGCUCGUCGUUUACUGUGAACAAAUUAGAGUGUUCAAAGCAGGUUUAGGCCGUUGAAUACAUUAGCAUGGAAUAAUAAGAUAGGACUUUGGUGGUCUAUUUUGUUGGUUUGCACGCCGAAGUAAUGAUUAAUAGGGGCGGUUGGGGGUAUUCGUGUUCAAUUGUCAGAGGUGAAAUUCUUGGAUUUAUGGAAGACGAACUACUGCGAAAGCAUUUACCAAGGAUGUUUUCAUUAAUCAAGAACGAAAGUUAGGGGAUCGAAGAAGAUUAGAUACCUUCGUAGUCUUAACCAUAAACUAUGCCGACUAGGGAUUGGCGGUCGUUUGUUCAGACUCCGUCAGCACCUUAUGA